RNAcentral lists this small RNA (124 nucleotides) under Marmota monax (woodchuck). The record is from RNAcentral. Lineage: Eukaryota; Metazoa; Chordata; Mammalia; Rodentia; Sciuridae.
GCCAGGCAUGGUGGAGCAUGCCUGUAAUCCCAGUGGGUCCGGAGGCUGAGGCAGGAGGAUCUCAAGUUCAAAGCCAACUUAGUGAGGCCCUAACUAAGCAAAACUCAUUGAGACUCUGUCUCUA